RNAcentral lists this ribosomal RNA (256 nucleotides) under uncultured bacterium. RNAcentral's name for it is "partial 16S ribosomal RNA". It matches the Rfam family "Bacterial small subunit ribosomal RNA", at positions 524 to 776 of the family's 1533-position model. The record is from RNAcentral.
UACGUAGGGGGGCAAGCGUUGUCCGGAAUCAUUGGGCGUAAAGCGCGUGUAGGCGGCCAGAAAAGUCCGCUGUGAAAACUCGAGGCUCAACCUCGGGCCUGCAGUGGGUACGGGCAGACUAGAGUGCGGGUAGGGGAGAUUGGAAUUCCUGGUGUAGCGGUGGAAUGCGCAGAUAUCAGGAGGAACACCAAUGGCGAAGGCAGAUCUCUGGGCCGUAACUGACGCUGAGGAGCGGAAAGCAUGGGGAGCGAACAGG